GGGUGCGAUCAUACCAGCACUAAUGCACCGGAUCCCAUCAGAACUCCGCAAUUAAGCGUGCUUGGGCGAGAGUAAUACUAGGAUGGGUGUCCUCCCGGGAAGUCCUUGGUUGCACCCC
Molecule: ribosomal RNA, 118 nt
Filed under: Brassica oleracea var. oleracea
Lineage: Eukaryota; Viridiplantae; Streptophyta; Magnoliopsida; Brassicales; Brassicaceae
Source: RNAcentral